RNAcentral lists this long non-coding RNA (1254 nucleotides) under Callithrix jacchus (white-tufted-ear marmoset). RNAcentral describes it as "lncRNA (ENSCJAG00000078243.1)". The record is from RNAcentral. Lineage: Eukaryota; Metazoa; Chordata; Mammalia; Primates; Cebidae.
GUCAUUAGAGAAAUGCAAAUCAAAACCACAUUGAGAUACCAUCUUACACCAGUUAGAAUGGCAAUCAUUUAAAAAUCUGUGGACAACAGAUGCCAGAGAGGAAGUGGAGAAAAAGGAACACUUUUGUACUGUCGGUGGGAGUGUAAAUUAGUUCAAACAUUAUGGAAGACAUUGUGGCGAUUCCUCAAGGACCUAGAAAUAGAAAUUCCAUUUUGACCCAGCAAUGCCAUUACUGGGUAUAUACCCAAAGGAAGGGCUGGACUUGAGACUGAACGAGACUUGCACAGUAGCCCAGCCCAGGGGAUUGCAGGGACAGAUCGUUUGGGAUACCCAGUGGGACGAACAAAACCACGAUUUCAAACUAUCCCGGGCAGACGGUCCGAGACGCUCUGUGGGGGAGGGGCGUCCACCACUACGGAGGCAACCUGCCCCAACUGAUAUACACGCCCACUGCUGAGGCAGCCAGCCCUUGCCGAGGCAACCCGCCCCAACUGAGAUACACGCCCAAAGCUGACGCAGCCAGCCGUUGCCGAGGCAACCCGUCCCUACUGAGAUACACGCCCACUGCUGACGCAGCCAGCCGUUGCCGAGGCAACCCGUCCCUACUGAGAUACACGCCCACUGCUGACGCAGCCUGCCGUUGCUGAGGCAACACGCUACAACGAAGAGACUCCGCCGCAGGGCGUGGCGGAGACCACAGCAGAGCCGGCAGGAACAGCGCGAAUCACACAACAGCAGGGCGGAGCCUCGGCAGCCAAACAGUGGCUAGUCUGCCUUCGAGCUGGGCAGGACACCUGAUCGGACAUCCAAAAAUAAAGCCCAAACCCCUCAACACAGAGCAUUUGAGAAAAAAAAAAGGGUUGUUUAAUGAGCUGUGUUGCAGCAGAAUCAAACAUAGCAGCCUAACAGCCCUGAAUGAACAACAGAGUGCACAGCUCAGCAAUUAAACCCCUAUAAAGUACAAACUGUCUCCUCAAGCAGCUCCCUGACCCCUCUAUAUCCAAAAGACUGUCAUUAGGCAGGCAUCAUCCUGGGACAAAGAGAGCAGAAAAAGAAACUGGUAGCAUCCCUCGCUGUGCCACGGCUACUAGAGGUGCACCCCAGACAAGCAGGGUCUGGAGCGGACCUCAACAGUCGUACAGCGAAGGGGCUAGACUGGUAGAAGGAAAACCAAGCAACAGAAAUACUUCAUCAUCAACAUUCUGGGUGUCCACUCAGAGACCCAAACGAAAAGUCAGCAACUACGCAGACGAC